RNAcentral lists this long non-coding RNA (637 nucleotides) under Sorghum bicolor (sorghum). Its description in RNAcentral is "long non-coding RNA (SBIC_LNC007369)". Lineage: Eukaryota; Viridiplantae; Streptophyta; Magnoliopsida; Poales; Poaceae. The record is from RNAcentral.
GACUCUUUUAAUGGCCUAAGAAUAUGAGGCCAUCUUUGGAGGACAUGGAAAUCUUAUCCGGUUCUCUUUGGAUCUUGAAUCACAAGAAUGAAGGGGAAAACUCACAAAAGAUGGUUCAUGAUCAGAGAUUCAGAGGUAAAGAAGAUGGCUGUUUGUUUUUUCUUGGCUUCCUUUGCUUCUAGGAUUGGUUCACCUUUCCUGUGGUAACACACUUGUCAAAGAUCGGGGCUCCGACCUGAUAAAUUGAAUAUCACUUCCUAUCAGGCCAUCAUCAAGCAUGACUGCAUGAGGUAAGUACAAGGUAACAAGCUUUUGUUAUCUUCUCUUCCAUAUGGAUGUGCCCCUUUGUCUGAAUCUGUCAAUUCAUCCAGUGCAACAGUGUAAAACAUCACUAUCCGGAAGACCAAUUGGAUCAACACCGAGCAUGUUGAGGUCGUUUUGACUGAACUGGACGUGGUUUACUGAUCUACAUGGAGGGAGGACUCUGGCUGCCUGUCUGUGAUCUGAGUGGCUACCUCGAUCAAUAAUGCUACUGAGAGAGCCCCCACACUGAAAUCAGAGGCCCGUUGGCCCCUACACAAAGAUUGGUUUCUUUCUUUUCGUAUACGGCGGGGAGAUUCGUGCCCGGCAACUCCCA